AGCUUUCUGAAUUCUUGCAGAGAUUUUGUCAGACACCAACCCAUUAGGACUGAUCAGACUUCCAAUAUAAGUGAAGUU
Molecule: non-coding RNA, 78 nt
Organism: Schistosoma rodhaini
Lineage: Eukaryota; Metazoa; Platyhelminthes; Trematoda; Strigeidida; Schistosomatidae
Source: Rfam